GGAGCUUGCUCUGUGGGAUCAGUGGCGAACGGGUGAGUAACACGUGAGCAACCUGCCCCUGACUCUGGGAUAAGCGCUGGAAACGGCGUCUAAUACUGGAUAUGUGACGUGACCGCAUGGUCUGCGUCUGGAAAGAAUUUCGGUUGGGGAUGGGCUCGCGGCCUAUCAGCUUGUUGGUGAGGUAAUGGCUCACCAAGGCGUCGACGGGUAGCCGGCCUGAGAGGGUGACCGGCCACACUGGGACUGAGACACGGCCCAGACUCCUACGGGAGGCAGCAGUGGGGAAUAUUGCACAAUGGGCGCAAGCCUGAUGCAGCAACGCCGCGUGAGGGACGACGGCCUUCGGGUUGUAAACCUCUUUUAGCAGGGAAGAAGCGAAAGUGACGGUACCUGCAGAAAAAGCGCCGGCUAACUACGUGCCAGCAGCCGCGGUAAUACGUAGGGCGCAAGCGUUAUCCGGAAUUAUUGGGCGUAAAGAGCUCGUAGGCGGUUUGUCGCGUCUGCUGUGAAAUCCGGAGGCUCAACCUCCGGCCUGCAGUGGGUACGGGCAGACUAGAGUGCGGUAGGGGAGAUUGGAAUUCCUGGUGUAGCGGUGGAAUGCGCAGAUAUCAGGAGGAACACCGAUGGCGAAGGCAGAUCUCUGGGCCGUAACUGACGCUGAGGAGCGAAAGGGUGGGGAGCAAACAGGCUUAGAUACCCUGGUAGUCCACCCCGUAAACGUUGGGAACUAGUUGUGGGGUCCAUUCCACGGAUUCCGUGACGCAGCUAACGCAUUAAGUUCCCCGCCUGGGGAGUACGGCCGCAAGGCUAAAACUCAAAGGAAUUGACGGGGACCCGCACAAGCGGCGGAGCAUGCGGAUUAAUUCGAUGCAACGCG
Molecule: ribosomal RNA, 877 nt
Filed under: uncultured bacterium
Lineage: Bacteria
Description: bacterial SSU rRNA
Rfam family: Bacterial small subunit ribosomal RNA
Source: RNAcentral